This 446-nucleotide ribosomal RNA is filed under the name uncultured bacterium. RNAcentral's name for it is "partial 16S ribosomal RNA". It matches the Rfam family "Bacterial small subunit ribosomal RNA", at positions 338 to 795 of the family's 1533-position model. The record is from RNAcentral.
CCUACGGGUGGCAGCAGUCGAGAAUUAUUCACAAUGGGGGAAACCCUGAUGGUGCGACGCCGCGUGGGGGAAUGAAGGUCUUCGGAUUGUAAACCCCUGUCAUGUGGGAGCAAAUUAAAAAGAUAGUACCACAAGAGGAAGAGACGGCUAACUCGGUUCCAGCAGCCGCGGUAAUACAGCGGUCGUAAGCGUUGGUCGGAAUCACUGGGCGUAAAGCGUUCGUAGGCUGUGUCGUAAGUCGUGUGUGAAAGGCGCGGGCUCAACCCGCGGACGGCACAUGAAACUGGGAGACUAGAGUAAUAGAGGAGGAAGCGGAAUUCUCGGUGUAGCAGUGAAAUGCAUAGAUAUCGAGAGGAACACUCGUGGCGAAGGCGGGUUCCUGGACAUUAACUGACGCUGAGGCACGAAGGCCAGGGGAGCGAAAGGGAUUAGAUACCCCAGUAGUC